RNAcentral lists this ribosomal RNA (450 nucleotides) under uncultured bacterium. Its description in RNAcentral is "partial 16S ribosomal RNA". It matches the Rfam family "Bacterial small subunit ribosomal RNA", at positions 338 to 795 of the family's 1533-position model. The record is from RNAcentral.
CCUACGGGUGGCUGCAGUGAGGAAUAUUGGUCAAUGGGCGUAAGCCUGAACCAGCCAUCCCGCGUGCAGGAAGAAGGCGCUAUGCGUCGUAAACUGCUUUUCCAGGGGAAGAAAACCCGCUACGUGUAGUGGCUUGCCGGUACCCUGGGAAUAAGCAUCGGCUAACUCCGUGCCAGCAGCCGCGGUAAUACGGAGGAUGCGAGCGUUAUUCGGAUUUAUGGGGGCGAAGGGGGAUUAAUGCGUCUUAGGUGAAAACCGUCAGCUUAACUGGAGACUUGCCAUUGAUACUGUUAGUCUUGAGUACGGUCAAGGUAGGCGGAAUGUGUAAUGUAGCGGUGAAAUGCUUAGAUAUUACACAGAACACCGAUUGCGAAGGCAGCUUACUGGGCCAUUACUGACGCUGAUGCACGAAAGCGUGGGGAGCGAACAGGAUUAGAUACCCGGGUAGUC